RNAcentral lists this ribosomal RNA (762 nucleotides) under uncultured bacterium. RNAcentral describes it as "bacterial SSU rRNA". It matches the Rfam family "Bacterial small subunit ribosomal RNA", at positions 156 to 919 of the family's 1533-position model. The record is from RNAcentral.
ACGCCGACUAAUCCCCGAUGGGAUAUUGUGCCGCAUGGCACGAUAUUGAAAGUUACGGCGGCGACGGAUUGGCUCGCGUCCGAUUAGCUUGUUGGCGGGGUAACGGCCCACCAAGGCUACGAUCGGUAGGGGUUCUGAGAGGAAGGCCCCCCACAAUGGGACUGAGACACGGCCCAUACUCCUACGGGAGGCAGCAGUGAGGAAUAUUGGUCAAUGGGCGGAAGCCUGAACCAGCCAUGCCGCGUGCGGGAAGGAGGCCCUAUGGGCUGUGAACCGCUUUUGCCUGGGGGCAAUAAGGGCGUCGCGCACGCCCGAUGAGAGUACCAGGCGAAUAAGCAUCGGCUAACUCCGUGCCAGCAGCCGCGGUAAUACGGGGGAUGCGAGCGUUAUCCGGAUUCAUUGGGUUUAAAGGGUGCGUAGGCUGUGCGUCAAGUCGGGGGUGAAAUUCCGGUGCUCAACACCGGGGCUGCCCUUGAUACUGUCGCGCUGGAGUGCGGAUGCCGCCGGAGGAAUGAGUGGUGUAGCGGUGAAAUGCUUAGAUAUCACUCAGAACACCGAUUGCGAAGGCAUCUGGCGAAUCCGUAACUGACGCUGAGGCACGAAAGCGUGGGGAUAGAACAGGAUUAGAUACCCUGGUAUUCCACGCCGUAAACGAUGAUGGCUAACCGCCGGCGACACACUGUCGGUGGCCAAGCGAAAGCGAUAAGCCAUCCACCUGGGGAGUACGUCGGCAACGAUGAAACUCAAAGGAAUUGACGGGGG